Molecule: long non-coding RNA, 393 nt
Filed under: Ananas comosus (pineapple)
Lineage: Eukaryota; Viridiplantae; Streptophyta; Magnoliopsida; Poales; Bromeliaceae
Description: long non-coding RNA (ACOM_LNC041520)
Source: RNAcentral
UAAAUUUUAAAAUUUCAAUUUUAAAUAUUCAAAAUUUAAAAUUUAAAAUUUAAAAUUUAAAAUUUAAAAUUUAAAAUUUAAAAUUUUGAAAUUUUAAAUUGUUUUUUAAAUUAAAAUUUUAAAUUUUAAAUUUUGUAUAAUUUUAAAAUUUUAAAAUUUUAAUUUUAAUUCAAAUUUAAAUUUAGAUUUUAAAUUAUUUUAAAAUAAAAUUUAAUAAAAAUAUUAAUUCAUGCAAACAUGAAAACAUUUUUACUAAACAGUUUUUCAAAAUCACUUUAGAAAAAUUAUUUUUAUCUAAACUCAGCCAAACGCUUUACAGCUUUUAAUCAAAAUUAUUUCUCCAAACCAAAAUUACUUUUUUACAAAUUACUUUUUCAAAAACUAGGCCAAACG